UGGGCAAUAGCUUAAAAAUUAAGCAUUUUAUUUACACUAAAAAGUUGACUAUAGUGGUCUUGCU
Molecule: transfer RNA, 64 nt
Filed under: Sagra femorata
Lineage: Eukaryota; Metazoa; Arthropoda; Insecta; Coleoptera; Chrysomelidae
Description: tRNA-Val
Source: RNAcentral